GUACUCACUUUGGCAGCACAUAUAUUAAAAUUGGAAUGAUACAGAGAAGAUUAGAAUGACCCCUGUGCAAGGAUGACAUGCAAAUUCAUGACGCCUUCCAUAUUUAC
Molecule: small nuclear RNA, 107 nt
Organism: Choloepus didactylus (southern two-toed sloth)
Lineage: Eukaryota; Metazoa; Chordata; Mammalia; Pilosa; Megalonychidae
Source: RefSeq, a predicted model, not a curated record